GGAGCUUGCUUUAUAUAACUUAGCAGCGAACGGGUGAGUAACACGUAGAUAAUCUAUCCUAUACUGGGGGAUAGCCCGAUGAAAGUUGGAUUAAUACCGCAUAUAGCUAUAUAGUUGCAUGAUUAUGUAGUGAAAGAUUUAUUGGUAUAGGAGGAGUCUGCGGCACAUUAGCUAGUAGGUGAGGUAAAGGCUUACCUAGGCGACGAUGUGUAGCCGGUCUGAGAGGAUGAACGGCCACAAUGGAACUGAGACACGGUCCAUACUCCUACGGGAGGCAGCAGUGGGGAAUAUUGCACAAUGGGGGAAACCCUGAUGGAGCAACGCCGCGUGAGUGAAGAAGGUUUUCGGAUUGUAAAGCUCUGUUAGCAGGGAAGAGGAAGGACGGUACCUGCAGAGGAAGCCACGGCUAACUACGUGCCAGCAGCCGCGGUAAUACGUAGGUGGCAAGCGUUGUUCGGAAUAACUGGGCGUAAAGGAUGCGUAGGCGGUUAAACAAGUUAUAUGUUAAAUAUAUAGGCUUAACCUGUAGAAAGCAUAUAAAACUGUUUAACUAGAGUGCAGGAGAGGUAAGUGGAAUUCCUAGUGUAGCGGUGAAAUGCGUAGAGAUUAGGAAGAACACCAGUGGCGAAGGCGACUUACUGGACUGUAACUGACGCUGAGGCAUGAGAGCAUGGGGAGCAAACAGGAUUAGAUACCCUGGUAGUCCAUGCUGUAAACGAUGGGUACUAGGUGUGGGUUGUGAAUAACAAUUCGUGCCGUCGCAAACGCAAUAAGUACC
RNAcentral lists this ribosomal RNA (778 nucleotides) under uncultured bacterium. Its description in RNAcentral is "bacterial SSU rRNA". It matches the Rfam family "Bacterial small subunit ribosomal RNA", at positions 75 to 868 of the family's 1533-position model. The record is from RNAcentral.